RNAcentral lists this transfer RNA (73 nucleotides) under Felis catus (domestic cat). It matches the Rfam family "tRNA". Rfam says of the family: Transfer RNA (tRNA) molecules are approximately 80 nucleotides in length. Their secondary structure includes four short double-helical elements and three loops (D, anti-codon, and T loops). Lineage: Eukaryota; Metazoa; Chordata; Mammalia; Carnivora; Felidae. The record is from Rfam by way of RNAcentral. RNAcentral also lists the same sequence under 6 other names.
GCCUGGCUGGCUCAGUUGGUGGAGCAUGUGGCUGGUGAUCUUGAGGUCGUGAGUUCAAGCCCCACACUGGGUG